This 466-nucleotide ribosomal RNA is filed under the name uncultured bacterium. RNAcentral describes it as "partial 16S ribosomal RNA". It matches the Rfam family "Bacterial small subunit ribosomal RNA", at positions 28 to 507 of the family's 1533-position model. The record is from RNAcentral.
GAUGAACGCUGGCGGCGUGCUUAACACAUGCAAGUCGAACGAUGAAGCCCAGCUUGCUGGGUGGAUUAGUGGCGAACGGGUGAGUAACACGUGAGUAACCUGCCCUUAACUCUGGGAUAAGCCUGGGAAACUGGGUCUAAUACCGGAUAGGAGCGUCCACCGCAUGGUGGGUGUUGGAAAGAUUUAUCGGUUUUGGAUGGACUCGCGGCCUAUCAGCUUGUUGGUGAAGUAAUGGCUCACCAAGGCGACGACGGGUAGCCGGCCUGAGAGGGUGACCGGCCACACUGGGACUGAGACACGGCCCAGACUCCUACGGGAGGCAGCAGUGGGGAAUAUUGCACAAUGGGCGCAAGCCUGAUGCAGCGACGCCGCGUGAGGGAUGACGGCCUUCGGGUUGUAAACCUCUUUCAGUAGGGAAGAAGCGAAAGUGACGGUACCUGCAGAAGAAGCACCGGCUAACUACGUG